UACGUAGGGGGCAAGCGUUGUCCGGAAUCAUUGGGCGUAAAGCGCGUGUAGGCGGUUCGGUAAGUCUGCUGUGAAAGUCCAGGGCUCAACCCUGGGAUGCCGGUGGAUACUGUCGGACUAGAGUACGGAAGAGGCGAGUGGAAUUCCCGGUGUAGCGGUGAAAUGCGCAGAUAUCGGGAGGAACACCAAUUGCGAAGGCAGCGCGCUGGGACGUAACUGACGCUGAGACGCGAAAGCGUGGGGAGCAAACAGG
Molecule: ribosomal RNA, 253 nt
Filed under: uncultured bacterium
Lineage: Bacteria
Description: partial 16S ribosomal RNA
Rfam family: Bacterial small subunit ribosomal RNA
Source: RNAcentral